GCGAGCGUUGCUUAAUGGUAAAGCUCCGGCCUUCCAAGCCGGUCAUGUGGGUUCGAUCCCCAUCGCUCGCUCCA
RNAcentral lists this transfer RNA (74 nucleotides) under Candidatus Auribacterota bacterium. RNAcentral describes it as "tRNA-Gly". It matches the Rfam family "tRNA". From Rfam's summary of the family: Transfer RNA (tRNA) molecules are approximately 80 nucleotides in length. Lineage: Bacteria; Pseudomonadati; Candidatus Auribacterota. The record is from RNAcentral.